GCCUGGGUGGCUCAGUUUGUUAAGCAUCUGACUUCAGCUCAGGUCAUGAUCUCACAGUUUGUGAGUUUGAACCCCACAUCGGGCU
This is a non-coding RNA of Felis catus (domestic cat), 85 nucleotides long. The record is from Rfam. NCBI's taxonomy places the organism in Eukaryota, Metazoa, Chordata, Mammalia, Carnivora, Felidae.